RNAcentral lists this ribosomal RNA (497 nucleotides) under uncultured bacterium. RNAcentral's name for it is "partial 16S ribosomal RNA". It matches the Rfam family "Bacterial small subunit ribosomal RNA", at positions 28 to 507 of the family's 1533-position model. The record is from RNAcentral.
GACGAACGCUGGCGGCGUGCCUAAUACAUGCAAGUAGAACGCUGAAGAGAGGAGCUUACUCUUCUUGGAUGAGUUGCGAACGGGUGAGUAACGCGUAGGUAACCUGCCUUGUAGCGGGGGAUAACUAUUGGAAACGAUAGCUAAUACCGCAUAACAAUGGAUGACACAUGUCAUUUAUUUGAAAGGGGCAAUUGCUCCACUACAAGAUGGACCUGCGUUGUAUUAGCUAGUAGGUGAGGUAAUGGCUCACCUAGGCGACGAUACAUAGCCGACCUGAGAGGGUGAUCGGCCACACUGGGACUGAGACACGGCCCAGACUCCUACGGGAGGCAGCAGUAGGGAAUCUUCGGCAAUGGGGGCAACCCUGACCGAGCAACGCCGCGUGAGUGAAGAAGGGUUUCGGAUCGUAAAGCUCUGUUGUAAGUCAAGAACGGGUGUGAGAGUGGAAAGUUAACACUGUGACGGUAGCUUACCAGAAAGGGACGGCUAACUACGUG